Molecule: ribosomal RNA, 1752 nt
Filed under: Triticum aestivum (bread wheat)
Lineage: Eukaryota; Viridiplantae; Streptophyta; Magnoliopsida; Poales; Poaceae
Description: partial small subunit ribosomal RNA
Source: RNAcentral
AUGAAGUACGAUUUUCCGCUGCUGGACCGUGACACAAGGUUUACCCUAUGGCAAGUCAAGAUGCGGGCGUUGUUGGCGCAGGCCGACUAUGAUGUAGCACUGGAUAGUUUUGAGAAGAACCGAAUUCAAGAUUGGACUGAUGAGGAGAAAAUAAUUGAUUGUAAGGCUUUGUCACAAAUUCAACUCCAUUUGCAUAAUAAUAUUUUGCAGGAAGUUUUGAGCGAGAAAACUGCCGCCGCUCUAUGGUUAAAGCUGGAAGGGAUUUGCAUGACUAAUGAUCUCACCAGCAAGAUGCAUCUGAAGCAAAAAUUAUUUCUGCAUAGGUUACCCGAGGGAGGUAAUGUUUUGAAUCAUAUUUCAGAAUUUAAAGAGAUCAUAUCUGAUCUAGCUGCAAUGGAGGUUAAGUAUGAAGAGGAAGAUACUGCUUUACUAUUACUUUGUUCACUGCCAAGUUCUUAUACCAAUUUUAGAGACACCAUAUUAUACAGUCGUGAUACUCUCACGCUUAAUGAAGUUUAUGAAGCUUUGAACUCCAAGGAGAAGAUGAAAUUAAUGGUGCCUCAUGAUGGUUCGAGUUCAUCCCAUGCCGAGGGAUUAUCUGUUCGUGGCAGGACAAAGGAGAAGAACUCCAAUAAUGGAAACAGAGGCAAAAGUAAAAACGGCUACAGGGGUCGGUCGCAAUCCAGAGACAAGAAAUAUUGCAGAUAUUGCAAGAGAGACGGGCAUGACAUCUCAGAGUGUUUCAAGUUGCAGAACAAGGAAAAGAGGAAAGGUAACAAACAAGGUGACAAUUCUGCUAAUGUUGCUCGUGAUGAUAGUUCCGAUGAUGCUCUUGUCGUUAUUGCUGGAUGUGCUGAGACCAACGAUGAGUGGGUACUUGACACUGCAUGUACUUCCCAUAUGUGCCCGCAUAGAGAUUGGUUUAAUACUUUUGAUUCCACUACUUCUGCUGGUUCCGUUUUGGGUUUUGAUAAUUCACCAUGCAAGAUUGAAGGCAUAGGUUCUAUUCGAAUCAAGAUGUUUGAUGGCAUAAUCACAACUUUGACAGAUGUUCGGUAUAUUCCGAAGAUGAAGAGAAAUCUUAUUUCUAUGAGUACCCUUGAUGCAAAGGGGUACAAGUAUUCAGGUGGAGAUAGUGUUUUGAAAGUCACCAAAUGCUCCCUUGUUGUGAUGAAAGGUGACUUAAGUUCGACCAAUGGUCUUUAUUACCUUCGAGGUUCUAUAGUUUCAGGUAACGCUACUCCAGUUGUUUCAAAGAAUUCUGAUUGUGAUGCUGCUAACCUUUGGCAUAUGCGUCUUGGACAUAUGAGUGAACUUGGUUUAGCAGAGUUAAAUAAGAGAGGUCUUCUUGAUGGAUAUGAACCUGGUAAAUUGAAAUUUUGUGAGCAUUGUAUCUUCGGCAAGCACAAGAGGGUGAAGUUCAACACUUCGACUCAUACAACCGAAGGUAUUCUUGAUUAUGUGCAUUCUGAUUUAUGGGGACCAUCUCGCAAGAAGUCACUAGGUGGUGCAAGUUACAUGCUGACUAUUAUUGAUGAUUAUUCGAGAAAAGUUUGGCCUUAUUUCUUGAAGCAUAAAUAUGAAGCAUUCUCAGCAUUUAAGGAAUGGAAGAUUAUGAUUGAAAGACAGACUGAAAAGAAGGUAAAAAUACUUCGCACUGAUAAUGGUAUGGAAUUCUGUUCUAAGCAAUUUAAGAAUUAUUGCAAGUCUGAAGGCAUUGUCAGACAUUACACGGUGUUGCUGAGCGUAUGA